RNAcentral lists this unclassified non-coding RNA (218 nucleotides) under uncultured Tomentella. Its description in RNAcentral is "sequence contains ITS2". The record is from RNAcentral. Lineage: Eukaryota; Fungi; Basidiomycota; Agaricomycetes; Thelephorales; Thelephoraceae.
ACACCUCAACUCUCGUGGCUUGCCAUGAUGAGCUUGGACUUUGGGGGUCUUGUUGGCCUGUGUGCCAGCUCCUCUUAAAUGAAUUAGCUUGCCGGUGUUUGGUGGCGCCAUGGGUGUGAUAAAUAUCUACGCUUGUGGUUUCCCACCAGCUAACCUUCAGUGAUGGAGGUUCACUGGAGCUUAUAAACGUCUCUCCUUGGAGAGGACGCAUUUUGACC